CCUUGGGGGUUGGCCUACUUAGGUCUUCUCUUAAGGUUCCUCACAGUUAUGUGCAAUGUUGUUGUCACCUUGGUUGACUCUGCCUAAAGCUUUUGACUUGAAAAAAGACUUGAGCAAUGGGCUGGCCUUAGGGGCCCCUAGUAUGUUUAUCAUACUAACCCCAAAGGUUUUUUCUACUAUGUCUAUGAAUUGAUGUAUGAAAAAAAAGUUAUUUGUUAACUUGAAGGCUUCUGUAAAAAGAGUCUUUAAAAACAACUCUUGGCAAUGGAUCUCUUGGUUCUCGCAUCGAUGAAGAGCGUAGCAAAGUGCGAUAAUUAUUGCGACUUGCAUUCAUAGUGAAUCAUCGAGUUCUUGAACGCAUCUUGCGCCUAGUAGUCAAUCUACUAGGCACAGUUGUUUCAGUAUCUGCAUCCACCAAUCAACUUAACCUUUUGUGUUGAGUUGGAACUGGGCUUCUAGUUGAUGGCAUUUAGUUGCUGUCAUGGCCUUAAAUCAAUGUCCUAGGUGUUAGAACAUCUAACACCGGAUGGAAACUUUAGAGCGCUUUAAGAGCAGCUUGGUUAGUGAGUUCAAUAAUUCCAAGCAUUAAGUCUUUUAAUGAACUAGCUUUUCUAUCUAUGGGACACUACUUGGAGAAAUCCAAGUAACCUUUAAACUCACAUUUAGAUCUGAAAUCAACUGAGACCACCCGCUGAACUUAAGCAUAUCAAUAAGCGGAG
RNAcentral lists this ribosomal RNA (719 nucleotides) under Lichtheimia corymbifera. Its description in RNAcentral is "eukaryotic LSU rRNA". The stretch from base 254 to 407 matches the Rfam family "5.8S ribosomal RNA". The record is from RNAcentral. Lineage: Eukaryota; Fungi; Mucoromycota; Mucoromycetes; Mucorales; Lichtheimiaceae.